UGGAUAGUAAAAAAUAUUGGAAGGAGAAGAGUUUGUAUGGAAUUGGUGUGGAAAGUAGAAAAUAUGAGUAGAGAGUAAAAAAUAUUGGAAGGAGAUGAGUUUGUAUGGAGAAUUGGUGUGGAAAAUGAAUAAUGUGAGUGGAGAGUAGAAAAUAUUGUAUGGAGAAGAAAUUGUAUGAAGAUUUAGUGUUGAAAGUAGAUAAAAUGGUUAGGUAUUUAUAGGGAAAAAAUACAUACUUUUUUUUUUAUUUUUUUUAAAAAAAAUUCAGAAUUUUUUCGGAUAUUUUAGGAUUUUUUUUAAAUUUUUU
Molecule: long non-coding RNA, 307 nt
Filed under: Prunus persica (peach)
Lineage: Eukaryota; Viridiplantae; Streptophyta; Magnoliopsida; Rosales; Rosaceae
Description: long non-coding RNA (PPER_LNC005815)
Source: RNAcentral